Molecule: ribosomal RNA, 2668 nt
Filed under: Acinetobacter baumannii 25691_10
Lineage: Bacteria; Pseudomonadati; Pseudomonadota; Gammaproteobacteria; Moraxellales; Moraxellaceae
Also listed under: 1 other name
Description: bacterial LSU rRNA
Rfam family: Bacterial large subunit ribosomal RNA
Source: RNAcentral
CAAUUGAGAUUCCCUCAGUAGCGGCGAGCGAACGGGGAUCAGCCCAUUAAGUUAUGUGUGUUUUAGUGGAACGCUCUGGGAAGUGCGAACGUAGAGGGUGAUAUUCCCGUACACGAAAGGGCACACAUAAUGAUGACGAGUAGGGCGAGGCACGUGAAACCUUGUCUGAAUAUGGGGGGACCAUCCUCCAAGGCUAAAUACUCCUGACUGACCGAUAGUGAACCAGUACCGUGAGGGAAAGGCGAAAAGAACCCCUGUGAGGGGAGUGAAAUAGAUCCUGAAACCGCAUGCAUACAAGCAGUGGGAGCACCUUCGUGGUGUGACUGCGUACCUUUUGUAUAAUGGGUCAGCGACUUAUAUUCAGUAGCGAGGUUAACCGUAUAGGGGAGCCGUAGAGAAAUCGAGUCUUAAUAGGGCGUUUAGUUGCUGGGUAUAGACCCGAAACCAGGCGAUCUAUCCAUGAGCAGGUUGAAGGUUGGGUAACACUAACUGGAGGACCGAACCCACUGUCGUUGAAAAGCCAGGGGAUGACUUGUGGAUAGGGGUGAAAGGCUAAUCAAGCCUGGUGAUAGCUGGUUCUCCCCGAAAGCUAUUUAGGUAGCGCCUCGGACGAAUACCAUAGGGGGUAGAGCACUGUUUCGGCUAGGGGGUCAUCCCGACUUACCAAACCGAUGCAAACUCCGAAUACCUAUGAGUACUAUCCGGGAGACAGACUGCGGGUGCUAACGUCCGUAGUCAAGAGGAAAACAAUCCAGACCGCCAGCUAAGGCCCCAAAAUCAUAGUUAAGUGGGAAACGAUGUGGGAAGGCAUAGACAGCUAGGAGGUUGGCUUAGAAGCAGCCACCCUUUAAAGAAAGCGUAAUAGCUCACUAGUCGAGUCGGCCUGCGCGGAAGAUGUAACGGGGCUAAAACUAUGUGCCGAAGCUGCGGAUGUAUACUUUGUAUACGUGGUAGGGGAGCGUUCUGUAAGCCGAUGAAGGUGUGUUGAGAAGCAUGCUGGAGGUAUCAGAAGUGCGAAUGCUGACGUGAGUAACGACAAAACGGGUGAAAAACCCGUUCGCCGAAAGACCAAGGGUUCCAGUCCAACGUUAAUCGGGGCUGGGUGAGUCGACCCCUAAGGCGAGGCCGAAAGGCGUAGUCGAUGGGAAAAUGGUUAAUAUUCCAUUACUUCUGUGUAAUGCGAUGAGAGGACGGAGAAGGCUAAAUCAGCCUGGCGUUGGUUGUCCAGGUGAAAGGAUGUAGGCAUGUAUCUUAGGCAAAUCCGGGGUACUCUAUGCUGAGAUCUGAUAGCAAGCUGUACUUGUACAGCGAAGUGGUUGAUGCCAUGCUUCCAGGAAAAGUCUCUAAGCUUCAGUUACACAGGAAUCGUACCCGAAACCGACACAGGUGGUCAGGUCGAGUAGACCAAGGCGCUUGAGAGAACUCUGCUGAAGGAACUAGGCAAAAUGGUACCGUAACUUCGGGAGAAGGUACGCUGUUGUUGGUGAUGGAACUCGCUUCCUGAGCUGACGACAGCCGCAGAAACCAGGCCGCUGCAACUGUUUAUUAAAAACAUAGCACUCUGCAAACACGAAAGUGGACGUAUAGGGUGUGAUGCCUGCCCGGUGCUGGAAGGUUAAUUGAUGGGGUUAGCGUAAGCGAAGCUCUUGAUCGAAGCCCCAGUAAACGGCGGCCGUAACUAUAACGGUCCUAAGGUAGCGAAAUUCCUUGUCGGGUAAGUUCCGACCUGCACGAAUGGCAUAAUGAUGGCGGCGCUGUCUCCAGCAGAGGCUCAGUGAAAUCGAAAUCGCUGUGAAGAUGCAGUGUACCCGCGGCUAGACGGAAAGACCCCGUGAACCUUUACUGCAGCUUGACACUGAACUUUGACCUUACUUGUGUAGGAUAGGUGGGAGGCUUUGAAGCUGGAACGCUAGUUCCAGUGGAGCCGUCCUUGAAAUACCACCCUGGUAAUGUUGAGGUUCUAACUCUGUCCCGUGAUCCGGGACGAGGACCGUGUCUGGUGGGUAGUUUGACUGGGGCGGUCUCCUCCUAAAGAGUAACGGAGGAGUACGAAGGUGCGCUCAGCGUGGUCGGAAAUCACGCGUAGAGUAUAAAGGCAAAAGCGCGCUUAACUGCGAGACCCACAAGUCGAGCAGGUACGAAAGUAGGUCUUAGUGAUCCGGUGGUUCUGUAUGGAAGGGCCAUCGCUCAACGGAUAAAAGGUACUCUGGGGAUAACAGGCUGAUACCGCCCAAGAGUUCAUAUCGACGGCGGUGUUUGGCACCUCGAUGUCGGCUCAUCUCAUCCUGGGGCUGAAGCAGGUCCCAAGGGUAUGGCUGUUCGCCAUUUAAAGAGGUACGCGAGCUGGGUUUAGAACGUCGUGAGACAGUUCGGUCCCUAUCUACCGUGGGCGCUGGAAAUUUGAGAGGAUCUGCUCCUAGUACGAGAGGACCAGAGUGGACGAACCUCUGGUGUACCGGUUGUGACGCCAGUCGCAUCGCCGGGUAGCUAUGUUCGGAAGGGAUAACCGCUGAAAGCAUCUAAGCGGGAAGCCUACCUCAAGAUAAGAUUUCCCUAGGACUUUAUGUCCUCUAAAGAGCCGUUCGAGACUAGGACGUUGAUAGGUUGGAUGUGGAAGCAUAGUGAUAUGUGAAGCUGACCAAUACUAAUUGCUCGUGAGGCUUGACUA